This is a long non-coding RNA of Clupea harengus (Atlantic herring), 1511 nucleotides long. NCBI's taxonomy places the organism in Eukaryota, Metazoa, Chordata, Actinopteri, Clupeiformes, Clupeidae. The record is from Ensembl.
GACUUCUCUGCCAAUGGGUAAUUUUUAUAAAUUCGUUUUUGGUGAAAAAAAGCACUGUUUUAGAGAUGACCUAAGUAUGUCAAAGACCCUGUUGUAGUAAUUAUUUGGUACCAGACUUGUGUGAUCAUACUCAUAGAGAGAAGAAAGUUCUGGAAUAUGCGCUAAUGUUUUGUAAUGGUGGUGAUGCAUAGUGAGCGGUGGGUCGAGGAGUGUGUGGAAACACUGCCUUCAGGAAAGUCGACACUCGCUGGUCAGAGCGUGGGCGACCAGCCGUGUGUUAUUUCCAGGCGCCUUAACUCGAUUUCUGAAAUCUAAUUUCCUCGCCCCUGAUGUUAUUAAUGAUAUUACAACACCCAACGAGCUUUUAUCGAAACCGGCACCCAAACAUUUGGCAUCUAACAUAGGAAGGGGAAACGGAAUCUAUACAAAAGGCAAAGAGAGAACAGCCCUGAACAUAAAGCUGUGAAACAGAGGAAGUAGACGGACAGUCGGACACUCGGAGACCGUCCUUUUCCAGGUGGGAUGCAAACAUAUGACUUCAAGCAGCGAGACACGGCAUGCAAAAAAUAUAACAGAUUUAAAAAAAAAAAAACCUGCUUUAAAAAGAUACUGAGCAGGGUCAUUCCUAGACUAAUCCUACGUACGAAAAGAUAUUUAUACUCCGCUCCAGGCUAGGCCAGUCAGCAUUUCACCGUCACGUCAUGUCGCAUCACAUAUCCCGGCGUCCCCGGAGAGGUCGGGAUGCAGCAGGGAGGAAUGUGUGAUGAGAAGGCGGACAGAAGGAGGGGCUGGAUAAAUAAAUGAGUAAAGACUUAAGGCGGGGAGGUUAGGUAUCACACUAAGAUGACUCAUACGGGUCAAAUGUGCAAAAUACUCAUAUGGAAAAAGUAUCUAUCAGAGAAAAAAAAAGUGUCUGUGUUAGACUUCACAGGCACAAAAAUGAAAUGGUCUUCAGAGAAAGGCGUCUACUCAUUCUACUUGCAGUGGAAUGCUUUUAAUUAAUAAAUUAUCAUUAAUCAUUUAGUGAUCUUUUUUUUUCUUUUUCCUUUUUUGUUCCUGCUGUCAUACUAUUUCACUUUCAAUCUUGCUCUCUUUCUUUUUCUUCUUCCUUUGCUUUCUUUCCUUUGGCUGAAGUUCCACACAUUGGGAACGUCAAACUGUGUUUGUGUACUGCAUCAGGCCUUGUUGACUCGUGGCCAAGGGGUUUGUUGCUUCAUCUGGAAAAGGCAUGGAGAUUCGACAUGAUGCUGACAUGCAGUGGGAGAUGGCCUUGCACUGAGUCCAUCAACACUGAUGGCACUGUCACUCUGCAGUCCUCUGUGCAGUGUUACUUACGCGCCAAAAUGUCAAAUAUCACCUGAAAAGAACUGUGAAACCUCAGCGUAUACCUGGGCUACGCACUGAUUCACAGAGUGCCCUUAUGGGCCGAGAACUGGAACUCACUGAAGAUUUGUAAUUUUUUUUGCUGUGGUCCUACAAUGUGCUCUCUCACAAAUAAACGUAAACAUAUG